RNAcentral lists this ribosomal RNA (497 nucleotides) under uncultured bacterium. RNAcentral describes it as "partial 16S ribosomal RNA". It matches the Rfam family "Bacterial small subunit ribosomal RNA", at positions 28 to 507 of the family's 1533-position model. The record is from RNAcentral.
GAUGAACGCUGGCGGCGUGCCUAAUACAUGCAAGUCGAGCGAACGGACGAGAAGCUUGCUUUUCUGAUGUUAGCGGCGGACGGGUGAGUAACACGUGGAUAACCUACCUAUAAGACUGGGAUAACUUCGGGAAACCGGAGCUAAUACCGGAUAAUAUUUUGAACCGCAUGGUUCAAAAGUGAAAGACGGUCUUGCUGUCACUUAUAGAUGGAUCCGCGCUGCAUUAGCUAGUUGGUAAGGUAACGGCUUACCAAGGCCACGAUGCAUAGCCGACCUGAGAGGGUGAUCGGCCACACUGGAACUGAGACACGGUCCAGACUCCUACGGGAGGCAGCAGUAGGGAAUCUUCCGCAAUGGGCGAAAGCCUGACGGAGCAACGCCGCGUGAGUGAUGAAGGUCUUCGGAUCGUAAAACUCUGUUAUUAGGGAAGAACAUAUGUGUAAGUAACUGUGCACAUCUUGACGGUACCUAAUCAGAAAGCCACGGCUAACUACGUG